Long non-coding RNA from Acipenser ruthenus (sterlet), 1560 nucleotides. RefSeq lists it as uncharacterized. The record is from RefSeq and is a predicted model, not a curated record. NCBI's taxonomy places the organism in Eukaryota, Metazoa, Chordata, Actinopteri, Acipenseriformes, Acipenseridae. The transcript is spliced from 2 exons.
CCGCCUCCAUGUGAUGGACAUAUGUUUUGAUCAAUCAUAUCUUACACUCUUCGAGCCAUCGAGGUAUGCCCUUCUUAUGCAUUGCAAUCUGUGUGUAUCUGACGCCAUAGCUGCUGAGCGAGCGAGAGAGCAGACGAAGUACGAGAGGCGUGACAUUCUUAGAAAUAUUUUGACAUAUAUCUUAAUGAUGUCAACAAAAACAUCUUCUCGACAGCGAUGCACAAAAAAUGUUAGGCAGAACCGGAAUUGAAAGGGUGGGUACGGCCAGUGCAAGGCAGUGAUACUGUGGCUUACUGUGAUGUGGAUCGCUGCACUCUGUACGCUCACAAGAAACAUCUUAUCACGCAUUCAGAGGCUCAGAAGCAUCUUUCAAAUGCCCGGAAUGAAAAAGCAACAGGUGAACUUCAGCCAAUUAAUCAAUAUUUUACUGUCAACAUUCCUAGAGCACGCAAAGAAGCAGAAUUAAAAUUAGCGUGUUAUACAGCAGAACAUUGUUCGAUUCGAUCAGAGCUACUAUCAUCUUUAGAUCCCCAAUCUUCUAUUCUGAAGACACCUGCACUUCAUCGCACCAGGUGUACUGCUUUGAUUGUUAACAUUUUGGGUCCUGAGUUACACAAAGAGCUGCUGGCAGAUAUUGGUAACAGUAUGAGCACCAAUAUAACAUUCACACAGACACUUUCUAUUGUGAUACCCUAGUUCUUCAAAAAAGAAGAUUGUGUCAACCUUCUUUAAAUUCAUUCCAGUGGUUGAGACAGAUGCAGAAUCCCUUGUACACACUCUGUGUACUGCACUGGAAGAAGAUGGCCUGGAUCAUUGAUGUUGAUGGGGCAAGCGUAAUGAUAGGAUGCAACUAUUCACACCCUGCUUAAGGAAAAGGUCGCUUGGAAUUUUUUUUGUGUUUUGUUACUGUGACAGAGAUCGAAUGAUUCUUGGUGUUAGAUCUCCCUCUCGACCUGUGAGGACACGGUGCAAGAGGAACUGAAUACCCUUAAUUAAAUGGCACGACAAUUUAUUCCGUAGGGUAGGUGGAAGUCCAAACUCAAUGACCCUGACGGUAAACAGUGUGGCAUCUGAGGAUUGGAGGGGUCAUUAGCGAGGGUAUAAAUGGGGUAGCGUACGUGAUCUGUUCCUUUGCAUAUGGUUAAACCAAAUAACCUAGAAGGAGCCUGUCUUGUGUGUACUAAAAACCAUGAGUGUUUUGCUUGUCUCUGUAUUUACACUGUUUGUCUUGUGUGUCGUUUCUCACCAAGAAUACUGAGCACGAUCCGGAGCUGCAGCCGCAGGCCAGCGAAAAACCGGGACAUCACCACUCACCUUUCCACUACAGGAACUGUCUUUUUGCACCACUAGCACUAAAAUCACGCACUGUCGGAAUUGUGUCUGUGUUUUGUGUUUUGUGUGGGUGAAAGAACCGGACUUUGGGUUACGGGUCAAACCCAUGGGAUUAUAAUCAGAAGUGAUACACGCCGCUGUACCACUUCCAACACUAUUAUUGUUUGUAGGUUUGCCUUAAGGCUCUGGACAUUUAAUCAUUUAAAUAAACACCCUUGACCUGUACAA